CCACUCGGUUCACCGUUCACACCAUCUCAUUUCUCUGAAGAACAGGAGCUUAACAGCAGCAUAUAUGCAGCUGCUUUCCGGCGUCCUCUGAUUUGCCACGAACAACUGCUGCUUUCUUUGUGUGAUGGAUCUGCCCAAGUUUGUGGCGAAUUUGAUAGGUUUCUUCCGCAGAAAGUUGAUAGAAAGAAAAAGAAUUGCCAUGCAAUGCAGAUACCUGUUCAACUGAAUAAUCGCUGA
This 237-nucleotide long non-coding RNA is filed under the name Oryza sativa Indica Group (long-grained rice). Its description in RNAcentral is "lncRNA OsIR64_11g0014940". The record is from RNAcentral. Lineage: Eukaryota; Viridiplantae; Streptophyta; Magnoliopsida; Poales; Poaceae.